GGCCACCCUCGGGGGGCUUUACCAUCGGCAAAGCAUUGCUUUGUCGCUUAAGCAAACGGAAGACAGAAA
Molecule: non-coding RNA, 69 nt
Submitted as: unclassified sequences
Source: Rfam